Molecule: long non-coding RNA, 622 nt
Organism: Heterocephalus glaber (naked mole-rat)
Lineage: Eukaryota; Metazoa; Chordata; Mammalia; Rodentia; Bathyergidae
Source: RefSeq, a predicted model, not a curated record
CAAGGGGGCUGAGUUGGAAAGGGACUGAGGGGCGGGGCUUACUGUGGGCCGGGCCCGGGUGGAAGGCCGAGCGCAAACUGUAUACAAGGGUCACACGUGUUGGGGGGGGGGGAGGUGUGUGCGUGCGUGUGUGAGUGUGUGUGUGUGUGCGCGCUCGCUCGCUUUAUAGGUGCUUGUAGUGAAGAUCCAAAAGGUGAAGCAGAUACUCUAGAGCAGUGAUUGCGAACCUUUUAGAGCUUUCAAUGAUAAACAGCCGGCAGCGCCGCGCGUGCACUGCCCUAGAGAAUGAGAUUAUCUCAGGGAGCAAAGUUUAAAAACAACAUAACAUUAUACCUGAGUAAAGCUGUUAGGGCAGAGGGGGUCAGUAAGCAAAUCAAGUUAAACAAGGGAAUUCAGGAUUCCAAACAAGAUCUCAUCUAUCUUCCCAGCACAGUCUGAGAGAUGAGAAGAAUCCAGAUGAUUUCUUCCAAGAAGCAAAAGUCAAACAGGGAUCAAACUCAGGACCUUUUACUUGUGAAGCAGGCAUGGAGCCACUGAGCUGUAUCCCCGGCCCAACUUUAACAGAAUUUAUUGGUGAAUAUUUCUAAACUUAACAUAUAAUAAAUGCCAUCUUUUAAAUUUU